GACGAACGCUGGCGGCGUGCUUAACACAUGCAAGUCGAACGGAAAGGCCUUUUCGGAGGUACUCGAGUGGCGAACGGGUGAGUAACACGUGGGUGAUCUGCCCUGCCCUCUGGGAUAAGCCUGGGAAACUGGGUCUAAUACCGGAUAGGACCGCACUCUAGUGUGUGUGGUGGAAAGUUUUUUCGGUGUAGGAUGAGCCCGCGGGCUAUCAUCUUGUUGGUGGGGUAAUGGCCUACCAAGGCGGCGACGGGUAGCCGGACUGAGAGGUUGGUCGGCCACAUUGGGGCUGAGGUACGGCCCAGACUCCUACGGGGGGCAGCAGGGGGGAAUAUUGCACAAUGGGCGCAAGGCUGAUGCAGCGACGCCGCGUGGGGGAUGACGGCCUUCGGGUUGUAAACCCCCUUCGCCAGGGACGAAGCGUUUUGUGACGGUACCUGGUGAAGAAGCACCGGCUAACUACGUG
RNAcentral lists this ribosomal RNA (463 nucleotides) under uncultured bacterium. RNAcentral's name for it is "partial 16S ribosomal RNA". It matches the Rfam family "Bacterial small subunit ribosomal RNA", at positions 28 to 507 of the family's 1533-position model. The record is from RNAcentral.